This 257-nucleotide ribosomal RNA is filed under the name uncultured bacterium. Its description in RNAcentral is "partial 16S ribosomal RNA". It matches the Rfam family "Bacterial small subunit ribosomal RNA", at positions 794 to 1055 of the family's 1533-position model. The record is from RNAcentral.
GUCACGCCCUAACGAUGUCAACUGGUUGUUGGGAGGGUUUCUUCUCAGUAACGAAGCUAACGCGUGAAGUUGACCGCCUGGGAGUACGGCCGCAAGGUUGAACUCAAAGGAAUUGACUGGACCCGCACAAGCGGUGGAUGAUGUGGUUUAAUUCGAUGCAACGCGAAAACCUUACCUACCUUGACAUGUCUGGAAUCCUGAAGAGAUUUGGGAGUGCUCGAAAGAGAGCCAGAACACAGGUGCUGCAUGGCUGUCGU